GACAUAUUUAUUGACCCAUUGCAAUCUCUCCUAUGGACAAAGCCCAGGUGUUAUGACUCUCAUCUUUUCACUGGAACCUGCCAAGAAGGGUGAUUGUGACAUAUCACUGGACCCAGCACCUUGGUGAUGUGACUCUCCUCUCCUCUUGGGCCCUGCAUACAUUGUGUCUAUGGAAAUAUAGCUGGUCCAACACCUAGGUAAUGUGACUCUCCUGCAUAGGCCUUGCUAAUAGGGGAAGUAUGACAUAUGUUUUAUCACUUAAGUGAUGUUACUCUCCUUUUCUUCCUGAAUCCUGUAAAAGGGGGGGAUUGUGACCCUAUCACUGAACCCAGCACAUAAGUAAUAUUGAGUUUCCUGCAUAGGCUCUGUUCAGAAGGGUAUUAUGACAUAUCUUUUUGUUCAUCACUUUGUGACUUGUCUUUUGACUGGAACCUGCCAAAAAGGGUGAUUGUGACAUAUUACUGGACCCAGCACCUAGGUGAUGUGGCUCUCCUUUUUUUCUGGGCCUCACAUAUUUUGGGUAUUGUGAUGUAUAGCUGGGCUCAACACCUAGCAGUUGGGGAGCUCCUUUCUUGACCAUUCCCACAAAUGACAUAUCUCUGCUAUGACCACCUAUGACACAUGAGCUAAAUAUGUGACUCUUCUUUUCUGCCUGCACCCUGCUAACAGAGAAGAUUGUGACAAAUUGCUAAGUGCAGUGUAUCUUGUGCUGACCUUGUAUCUCAGCCUGUGACCAAGAAUGCCUAACCUCCGGGGAAUGCAGCCCUGUAGGUCUCAACCUCAAUUUACCCAGCCACUACUCAAAAUAGAGUCACUCUGGUUUAAAUGCCUCUGACAUUAAGAUACACUAUAAAAUUAUGAAAAAAGUUUAUUUGAAUUUUAGCAAAUGAGAAAUGAAAUAAUUAGAAUGGGCUAUUCUGAAAGAUAUAGCAUUAGUUAUAUUUGUGUUUGAGUUUUCGAUUAACCUAUAUUUGUUACUUAUGAAUAGAUAUCUUGUUUUAUUCUGUCUAAACAGAUACACUAGGUGGGGUGUAAUGCUGGCUCAUGCCUGUAAUUCCAGCACUUUGGGAGGCCGAGGCGAGUGGAUCACCUGAGGUCAGGAAUUUGAGACAAGCCUGACCAACAUGGCAAAAACCUGUCUCUACUAAAAAUACAAAAAUUAGCUGGCCAUGGUGGCAGGUGCCUGUAAUCCCAGCUACUUCGGAGGCUGAGGCAGGAGAAUCGCUUGAACCCGAGAGGCGGAGGUUGCAGUGAGCCAAGAUCAUGCCACUGCAUUCCACCCUGGGUGACAGAGCGAGACUCUGUCUCAAAAAAUAAGAUAAAAUAAGCGGCCAGGCAUGCUGGCUCAUGCCUGUAAUCCCAACACUUUGGGAGGAUGAGGAGGGUGGAUCACAAGGUCAGGAGUUCAAGACCAGCCUGGCCAAGAUGGUGAAACCCUGUCUCUACUAAAAAUACAAAAAUUAGCCACGUGUGUUGGCGGGUGCCUGUAAUCAAGAUGGUGAAACCCUGUCUUUACUAAAAAUACAAAAAUUAGCCAUGUGUGUUGGCGGGUGCCUGUAAUCCCAGCUACUCGGGAGGCUGAGGCAGAGAAUUGCUUGAACCCAGGAGGCGGAGGUUGCAGUGAGCCAAGAUCUCACCAUUGCACUCCAGCCUGGGUGACAGAGGGAGAUUCUGUCUCAAAAAAAAAAAAAAAAAAAAAAGACGACAUAAAUUUAAUGUUAAGUGUGGACUCAUAAAGAACCUAGACAGCCACCAAGCCAUUUGUUUAUUCUUGAUUUCUUAAAGCUUCCAUUAUUAAAAGCUCUGCAUUCCAUUACUCAUC
RNAcentral lists this long non-coding RNA (1822 nucleotides) under Pongo abelii (Sumatran orangutan). RNAcentral's name for it is "lincRNA". Lineage: Eukaryota; Metazoa; Chordata; Mammalia; Primates; Hominidae. The record is from RNAcentral.